CAGUAGCCGCGGUAAUACCGAGGGUGCAAGCGUUAAUCGGAAUUACUGGGCGUAAAGCGCGCGUAGGUGGUUUGUUAAGUUGGAUGUGAAAGCCCCGGGCUCAACCUGGGAACUGCAUCCAAAACUGGCAAGCUAGAGUACGGUAGAGGGUGGUGGAAUUUCCUGUGUAGCGGUGAAAUGCGUAGAUAUAGGAAGGAACACCAGUGGCGAAGGCGACCACCUGGACUGAUACUGACACUGAGGUGCGAAAGCGUGGGGAGCAAACAGGAUUAGAUACCCCCGUAGUCCCUGUCUCUUAUAA
RNAcentral lists this ribosomal RNA (301 nucleotides) under uncultured bacterium. RNAcentral's name for it is "partial 16S ribosomal RNA". It matches the Rfam family "Bacterial small subunit ribosomal RNA", at positions 509 to 809 of the family's 1533-position model. The record is from RNAcentral.